Molecule: ribosomal RNA, 2166 nt
Filed under: Triticum aestivum (bread wheat)
Lineage: Eukaryota; Viridiplantae; Streptophyta; Magnoliopsida; Poales; Poaceae
Description: partial small subunit ribosomal RNA
Source: RNAcentral
AUGAACUGUUCUGAAUUUGUUCAAGGAGCUACAACAGAGGGGCUACAGAGACGAGAUUCUCCACCUAUGACACAUAGUCAAAGAGCGACAAGAUCACCAUUGGUAAGGUCACCGGUGGCGAGCACGUGGAGAUCUUCCCUUGGUCUUCUAGCAAGAGUUGCAGCCUCAAAAAGGGGCAGGUCUCCCUCAACGAGGAUUGCAAGUUCCCCAUUGGAGGAGAGGGCAAAUUCGUCCGCGAGAUCACCAUCUAUCUUAGGAUCCCCUUCUCCAGUGACUACUCCAUUUGGAGGCUCAAAAAUUAAUCAUCCACAUGUCCGCAAGACAAGAAGGCUAACUUCUGCUGUUUGGAGGGAUUUCAAACCAAUUUAUCGUCAUAAGAUACUUGUCAAAGCUCAGUGCAAGCACUGUCAUGAAGUGUUUCAAGCUGGACGAGAUGUUGGCACAAGUGGUGUAAGAAGACACUUGGCUGCUUGCGAAAAAAGGUCAGAUUUACACCUCUACGUUGAGAAGAUGAAGUCCCCGGUUUCAUCUCCUGAUGCCUCUAUGCUUAAGCAAUGGAACUUUGAUCAAGAAACAUCUAGAGAUUUGCUUGCCAGAAUGAUAGUAAUGCAUGAGUUGCCUUUCUCAAUAGUUGAGUACAGUGGUUUUAGAGACUUCGUGAAAAGUUUGAAUCCCUUGUUCAAAAAUGUUUCUAGAAAUACUAUUAAAGAUGAGUGCAUGAAACACUAUAAUUUGGAGAGGUCGGCGUUCUCUGGACAUUUGAAGAAAUACAGUGGUAGAGUUUCUUUAACAGCGGACAUGUGGACAUCUAAUCAGACUUUGUCCUAUCUAUGCAUCACUUGCCAUUUGAUCAACAGCAAGUGGAUUUUGCAAAAGAGGAUCUUUAGAUUUUUUAUGGUGGAGACUCCACAUAAUGGAGUAACAAUGUUUAAUGUCUUAUUAAAGAGUUUGCAGGAGUGUAAUAUUGAGGACAAACUCUUUAGUAUGACAUUGGAUAAUGCAUCAGUUAAUGGUACAAUGGUCAAUAAUCUUAGAAAAAAUCUGAACAGCAAGCAUAUGUUGCCUAUUAAAGGUCAAUUACUUCAUAUCCGUUGUGCAUGCCAUGUGAUAAAUUUGAUUGUCCAAGAUGGGUUGACAACGAUGAAAGGUGUGAUAGAUGAUAUCAGAGAGAGUGUGAAGUACAUUAAGAGUUCUCCCUCUCGGUUGGACAAGUUCAAAGAAGUAGUUGCGCAAGUUGGUAUCUCUUGCAAACUCCCCUCACGUUGGAACUCCACCUAUAUUAUGUUGGAGUCAGCGCUCCCCUUUCGAAGAGCCUUUCGUGCUUUGGUGCAAAAGGACCCAGAUUAUGUGUUUUGCCCAUCCUCAGGAGAGUGGAAAAAUGCUGAUACAGUUUGUGCUAUGUUAAACGUUUUUCACACAGCCACAAAUGUACUUUCUGGUUCAAGUUAUUCUACCUCAAAUUUGUACUUUCAUCAAAUCUGGAAUGUGAGGUUAUUGUUGCAGAAGGAAGCUUCAACAAAGGAUGAAGUCGUUCAAGCAAUGGUUGGAGAGAUGCAAAAAAAGUUUGAUAAGUAUUGGAUGGAAUCAUAUUUGCCAAACUGUAUUCCUGUGAUCCUUGAUCCACGAUUUAAACUUUGCUUCAUCGAGUUUCGACUAAAACAAGCUUUUGGUCCAGAUGUAGAAAGACACUUGCUUGCAGUGAAAGAAGUUCUUGACAACCUUUACGAAGAAUAUUCUUCACAAAUGACGGAUGCAUUGGAUGAGUCAGCACCCCGACAAAAUUUUGAUGAGGUUGUGAAUGAAGAGAAUGAUCCGUUGGCGGAUUGGGACCAACACUUGAAUAAGAAGCAACGCCAAACUGCUAGUGAGCUUGCCAGAUACUUAGAAGAAGACACAUUCACUCGCACGGAGGAUUUCAACAUUCUUCAAUGGUGGCAUCUUCACUCGUCUAAGUAUCCCAUCCUUUCUUGUAUAGCUCGUGAUGUUCUUGCUGUACAAGCUUCCGUCGUAUCGUCAGAGUCGGCUUUCAGUACCGGAAAGCGUUUGAUCAGCGAUUACAGAAGUAGAUUAUGCAGCGAGACAGUGGAAGCCUUAAUCUGCCUUCAAGAUUGGUUUAGAUGUAAUGAUAAGCAUGCCAAUGCUCCUGAUCAAGGUCACUACUAUUAA